UACGUAGGGACCAAGCGUUGUCCGGAAUCAUUGGGCGUAAAGCGCGCGUAGGUGGCCAUUUAAGUCCGCUGUGAAAGUCAGAGGCUCAACCUUUGAAAGGCGGUGGAUACUGGAUGGCUAGAGUACGGAAGAGGCGAGUGGAAUUCCUGGUGUAGCGGUGGAAUGCGCAGAUAUCAGGAGGAACACCAAUAGCGAAGGCAGCUCGCUGGGACGUUACUGACACUAAGGCGCGAAAGCGUGGGGAGCGAACAGG
RNAcentral lists this ribosomal RNA (253 nucleotides) under uncultured bacterium. RNAcentral's name for it is "partial 16S ribosomal RNA". It matches the Rfam family "Bacterial small subunit ribosomal RNA", at positions 524 to 776 of the family's 1533-position model. The record is from RNAcentral.